AUAAUAAGUUGGAUCUCCAAUAGUAUACGUAAGCAUCUUGUUUUUUUCUUUCUAUCAGACACAUCUCUCUCUCAAUUUACAUCAGAAUAGGCUUCCAAUAUUUGAGAUUGUGACUUCUCAAUCUUGAUUCUUAAAUACAGAGUUAAGGAAAUGUAUCUGAAGAUUCUUUUCAAUGCUUUCCAGUGAACUGAGAUAAUUUAUUCGCUGAGAAUGUGAUAUUUGGUCUUCUAGUGGUUAAAUACAGCAACGUUUCAAUGAUAUGUCGAAAUUGAGUAGGUUGGUCAUUCAACUCUCUGUUUGGUUAUAUAAAUUUGCUCCUAGUUCUAUUGGUGUGGGAGUGGACUUCAAUUCAAAUUUGUGAGCUGUCUUUUCUAAUAUAUUCCUCGCAUAUUGAUGUUAAGAGAGAGAUAUCGAUCCAUCUGAAGCCAUGCUCACAUGAAUCCCAAGAAAAUGAUGUUGUAGCCGGGAUCUG
This 472-nucleotide long non-coding RNA is filed under the name Zostera marina. RNAcentral's name for it is "long non-coding RNA (ZMAR_LNC000370)". The record is from RNAcentral. Lineage: Eukaryota; Viridiplantae; Streptophyta; Magnoliopsida; Alismatales; Zosteraceae.